This is a long non-coding RNA of Quercus robur (English oak), 793 nucleotides long. RefSeq lists it as uncharacterized. The record is from RefSeq and is a predicted model, not a curated record. NCBI's taxonomy places the organism in Eukaryota, Viridiplantae, Streptophyta, Magnoliopsida, Fagales, Fagaceae. The transcript is spliced from 2 exons.
UUCAGUUCAUUCUACCUUUCCAGUAAAAAAAAAAAAAAAAAAAAAAACUCUUCAGUUCAUCUAGCAAAAUUUGAACUCUUUCAGCUCCCCUUUCCAUCAAUAUAUAAAUUUCUCUUCAGUUCAUUUCUUUUCCUUUCUCUUCCCUCAAUUGCAGCCAAAAAAAGUGUAAAGAUUGAUUGGUUUAUAUAUUGAUGGAUCCACUCUUCCUCUACGAGCUCAUGGACAACAACUCUUUCAUCACUGUCUGGGGUGCUAAGUUUGUGCUUUGCAAUGUUUGAGGGAACUUAGACAUAGAGAGAUUAAAGCUUUCAACUUUACCCAUUGCAAUCGGCGGGACUAAACUCAAGGAGGAAAAACACUGGCUCCUAAUUUAUCAAACCCUUCUUCUGUAUCAAAGAGGUAGAAUGAUCAAUGAGGAAGAAGCUUAAUAAAAAAAAUAAGCUCCUCCACGCAUGUGUAAUCGAAGCAUAGACCCGUGUAUCUGUAUGGGUUGGCUCACAUUCAAAACAUCAAUUGAGGCCAAAAUUUUGUGGAUUCGCAUUGCAAAGAUCCCAAGAGUAAUUAUAUAUUUUAUUUUGAAUCCAUAAUGUUUGAUAAAAUGCUUGAAAGGAAAUUUAUAAAUUUUAUUUCGGACUUGACAAUACUAUUAAUCAUAUUUGUUUGUUCUGUAUUUAGUUGGGGAUUAGAAACAAUUAAAUUGGGAAAAGUUUAUUAAAGCACUUGCAUAUACAUAGCUGCAUUCAUUUUUUUCCCUAUGUUAUAUGCUAAGUAAUCGGUGUUGUUUGGUUCUGAA